AUCUAUUUGAGCUAUGGCAGAGGGAACACAGUGAGUCUGUCCGGUCUACUAAUAGUCCGGCCCCGCCGCGGAUGUAGCAAGCGAGGAAAUGCUGGUAGCCUAUUCUUUAUGAUUAUUUCUUAAAGAUCCGGCGAACGCAACACAGCUCAGUUUGCUAUGGAUGCUUCUUUGGCCGAAGUGUAUAUAGGCCUACUUUGCUACACUGUUACAAUGUAUCGACUCAGAGCACUGAUCACUACGUAGCUUAGUCGUCUUUUCUCACACUCGCAUCAUUGUUGCCGCUGUGCAGCGAGGACACGAUAGUUACCGGGGGAGACAGACGAAACACAGCGUGAUUGUCGCUCAGGACUUGAACUUGAACUUCAUUUUGAAAUCGGCGUCCAUGUGUGAUCGACGUCAGUCUUCUUUUUUCCCAUAAGCAAUAUUCAUUAUUCUGUGAUUCAGUGUCAAACUACGAGGAGAAAUGAGGAAAAUACAGAUGUUUUGAAGACAAUAAACUAAACUGCUGGCUGCUCCACCUCGGACAUUGAAGAAGUGGACAUUUCAUAUCAACAGAAAGUAAACGAAUUGAAGAAUGCAUGUUAUAGAUGUUGUUAUAACAGAAACCGAUGGGUUGGGCCAGAACCAGAACGAACACCUGUGGGUUCACCCCCUCAUUUUGACGUCACAACAAACAACUUCAACGAUGGCAGUCUCAGUCUGAGGAUAACUACAUUAUGGUUCUGGAUCUACUACCCUGGUGGAAAAUAUGGCCUGUCUGGAUUUCAACAUCCUUAAUUUCACAUCCAUAGUUGUUGUGUGCUGCUGACUGUCUACCCAUGUCCGAUUUGAGGUUGGAUUGGAUCUGGGGGGCAAUGUAUAGAGACGGAACAGACCCUGGAUUAAAAGGUGAAAUUAUGUUUAAUUUAAAUAUUCUUGUUUCUUAAGCUUAUUAAGGUACAGUUUAUAUUGGUUUGGUAUUUGAUUUUCAUUGUACACUAAGUCAAAUCAAUGGCACUAUGUAGCUGUUUGGUUUAACCUGAAAUGAAAAGCGUCUCGCCUCGUUGUUCUGUCGCCUGCAGUUACACAAAGUUAGUCAAAUGUUUAUGGUGCAGUUGUUUGCUCUGAAUAAACCCUCGCACUCACAGUAUAAGAGAAAAAAAUCUCAGCUAGUAGACUGUGGUUACAGUAAUGUUAGUGAUCUGUACAGUACAGUAGAAGCGGCUCAUACUCUGAAGCUGCCAAAGAAAUCAGUGAAAGAGGAAAAGUAAAUCCAGUACCUCAAAGGUCAGAUGAAGAGACAGUUGGCUCCCUGAGAAGUGCAACCCACAGUGAGUUGGCACCCUGAACUACACAAAGUCCCUAUUGUCAGUGGGUGCACUGCAAACAGCACUCAAUAGACCUAUAAGGCCUACGGCUCCAGUCCUGGGGGAAAAGCACCACCUGUUGGCCGUUUGGUAAUAUACUGCAGAUUGACGAGGCAAGUUCUAGAAUCAUGCUUGUGUGAUGAGUAACCUUGCCUGAAACCUGUAGAUUUAUGAUCCCUUAGUGAAUGCCCAGCCUUUAGCUCAGUGGGAUAAUACAGUCUUUUGGCAUUCUGGAGACCCAGGUUCAAACCCAGCCAUUCAAUAUUAGUGUCACAUGUUCAAAACAUUUCCACUAAAAUGGCCUGCCCUUCAGCACCCUGAAGAAUGAUGUCUGUAAAGGGAAGUUAAUGAUGUGACAUUAGAAAUAGUGCAAUAUUUUGUCUGUGAGUUUUGUGAGUGUCCUUACCCUCAGUGGAGUUGUGAAGUUCAGCCAUGGUUCAGCUCCUCUUCUCUACAAUGGAGAAUGAAUCUUCUCCAUUCAUAUAAAGCAAAAUGAAAGCCACUGACUGUGUGGGAGGUUUCACAAAGCUAGAGGCAGAGCCAGGGUAUUGAAGUGUGACACCUAAAGUUUCACUUCCACAUGUUAUUAUAACCCUGUUAGUAUAUUAGUAUAAUAUAAUACGCACUUUCCUGGACACAGACCAAGCCUGCUACUGAACUAAAAAGCAUUCUCAAUGGAGAAUCUCUAUUGAAAGAUUUUUUUUUGUUCAGGACUGUUCUUAUGUGUCCAGGAAACCGAACAUAUAUAACCAAAUACAAAUACAUAUUAUAAUCUAUUAGUAUAAUAGUACAACCUUAUUCGUUUAAUAUGGUCUCACCCAUCCAGGUUGGAAUAGGAGGAGUAGCACUGAACCAACAGUGGAUUGCUACGGAGGGAUUUCUCUUCUCAGUCAAAGCCCUGUUGUCAGUUACAUUGAUAACAUAUACACUGAAUGUACCAAACAAUAAGAACGCCUUCCUAAUAUUGAGUUGAGUUGCACCCCCACCCCCCUUUUGCCCUUCGAACAGCCUCAAUUUGUCGGACAUGGACUCUACAAGGUGUCGGAAGCGUUCCACAGGGAUGCUGGCCCAUGUUGACUCCAAUGCUUCCCACAGUUGUCAAGUUUGCUGGAUGUCCUUUAAGUGGUGGACCAUUCUUGAUACACAUGGGAAACUGUUGAGCGUGAAAAACCCAGCAACGUUGCAGUUCUUGACACAAACUGGUGCACAUGGCACCUACUACCAUACUCUGUUCAAAGACACAUAUCUUUUGUCUUGCCCAUUCACCCUCUGAAUGGCACAUAUACACAAUCCAUGUCUCAAUUGUCUCAAGGCUUAAAAAUUCUUAUUUAAACUGUCUCCUCCCCUUCAUCCACACUGAUUGAUGUGCAUUUAACAGGUGACAUCAAUAAGGGAUCGUAGCUUUCAACUGGAUUCACCUCUCAGUCUGUCAUUCAAAGGUGUUCUUAAUGUUUUGUAUACUCAGUGUACAUUGAUACAGACUGUUAAGAUACAUUGACACAAAUAAUUCAAUUACACGCAACGAUGUUUCACCCCACUCCUGUGUAAAAUGGGCCACGGUUUACUUGACAAAGAGGCAUGGAUCCGUGCAAUGGGAAUUGUUUCAGCAACACAUCACAUCAGUCACUUAUUCAAGUGAUUCCGUUUUGAUUUACAUAACCUAUUCUCUGUGACUGAUGGACAGGGAGCACUGGAUUUCUGUGGCAUUUAUGUGGUCCCUAUCCUCCUAUAAAAUAGCCAAAAGCUGAUGUGAGAGAAUGUGUGUGUGUGUGUGUGUGUGUGUGUGUGUGUGUGUGUGUGUGUGUGUGUGUGUGUGUGUGUGUGUGUGUGUGUGUGUGUGUGUGUGUGUGUGUGUGUGUAAUUCGUGACUGUGCAUCAAUCUCACUCCUCCUGAGGCCUGUGACUCACCUUUGUGGUUGUGACUCCCCCGUCUCCCCCUUUCUGAGGUAAACCACAGUGCUGCCCACAGCCACAGAGAAAACUCCCAGCGUUAACCACAACCUUUCACCUCUUGUCUCACCCCCUCCACAACCCCAACACUAAACCAUCACCAGAUUUAAAACCUCCCUACUUGAAUCACUUGAUAGUCUCCUAAUAGUAACUCUCUAAUAUGGCCUUGAUUUGUCAGUGUCACCUUUAUAAACCUUUAUAAUAUAGACAAACUCUUGAUUUGAGUCUUGGCUGUAACACACUUGCUUUUCGGCUUCACAGUGAAAUCAACAACGUAGAAAAAAUGAGAUCCUAAUGGCUCUAAUAUGUAAUUAUAUGUAAUCCUAUGAUUGAAAACAUCAACAACAUUUAAUGUUAACUGUAUUACAUGUGCCAACAUGUGAGGCUUGAGUAACUUAGUUGUGUGGAACAGAUAUAUCUGACCCUGGUCUGGUCUGGUCUGGUCUGCCUGGCUAAACUAUAAUCAAGGGUAGUUAAUAAUGUAGCAAGGCAACAACACAGCAGGUUUAAGCCUAGCUGUCCACUCAAGUAGCUGUUGUUAACUCUCCUCUUUUGAGUCUUACAGAUGGUGUGAACCUGAGAUGGGUCAAGGAGGAACAGGAGGCAAAAUAUGAGAUCGGACAUGGACUCAUUGCAUGCUUCUACACCUGCAUUGCUUGCUGUUUGGGGUUUUAGGCUGGGUUUCUGUACAGCACUUUGUGACAUCACCUGAUGUAAGAAGGGCUUUAUAAAUAAAUGUGAUUGAUUGAUUGCAUGCAAUUCACCUUUUCAUGUCUGAGCUCUCACAUGAGGAUCACUUUAAGGACUACUCGGACUGUUCAUCAGAG
Long non-coding RNA from Oncorhynchus masou masou (cherry salmon), 4123 nucleotides. RefSeq lists it as uncharacterized. NCBI's taxonomy places the organism in Eukaryota, Metazoa, Chordata, Actinopteri, Salmoniformes, Salmonidae. The transcript is spliced from 5 exons. The record is from RefSeq and is a predicted model, not a curated record.